AACGAACGCUGGCGGCAUGCCUAACACAUGCAAGUCGAACGAGACCUUCGGGUCUAGUGGCGCACGGGUGCGUAACGCGUGGGAACCUGCCCUUAGGUUCGGAAUAACUCCCCGAAAGGGGUGCUAAUACCGGAUAAUGUCUUCGGACCAAAGAUUAGUGCCUUUGGAUGGGGCCGGGGUGGAUUAGGUAGUUGGUAGGGUAAAAGCCUACCAAGGGGACGAUUCAUAGCUGGGCUGAGAGGAUGAUCAGCCACACUGGGACUGAGACACGGCCCAGACUCCUACGGGAGGCAGCAGUGGGGAAUAUUGGACAAUGGGCGAAAGCCUGAUCCAGCAAUGCCGCGUGAGUGAUGAAGGCCUUAGGGUUGUAAAGCUCUUUUACCCGGGAUGAUAAUGACAGUACCGGGAGAAUAAGCUCCGGCUAACUCCGUG
RNAcentral lists this ribosomal RNA (432 nucleotides) under uncultured bacterium. RNAcentral describes it as "partial 16S ribosomal RNA". It matches the Rfam family "Bacterial small subunit ribosomal RNA", at positions 29 to 507 of the family's 1533-position model. The record is from RNAcentral.